This is a long non-coding RNA of Cygnus olor (mute swan), 98 nucleotides long. RefSeq lists it as uncharacterized. The transcript is spliced from 3 exons. The record is from RefSeq and is a predicted model, not a curated record. Lineage: Eukaryota; Metazoa; Chordata; Aves; Anseriformes; Anatidae.
CUCUUUGAGCAGAUCCAGAGGAGGGCCACAAAAAUGAUCAGAGGGCUGGAGCACCUGUCUUGUGAAAAAAAGGUUGAGAGAAGUUGGCUUGUUUGGCU